RNAcentral lists this transfer RNA (75 nucleotides) under Candidatus Kaiserbacteria bacterium RIFCSPLOWO2_01_FULL_53_17. RNAcentral describes it as "tRNA-Val". It matches the Rfam family "tRNA". From Rfam's summary of the family: Transfer RNA (tRNA) molecules are approximately 80 nucleotides in length. Lineage: Bacteria; Candidatus Kaiseribacteriota. RNAcentral also lists the same sequence under 1 other name. The record is from RNAcentral.
GGACGCUUAGCUCAGUGGUAGAGCAACGCUUUUACACAGCGAAGGUCGGGGGUUCAAAUCCCUCAGCGUCCACAA